Molecule: non-coding RNA, 1384 nt
Organism: Camelina sativa (false flax)
Lineage: Eukaryota; Viridiplantae; Streptophyta; Magnoliopsida; Brassicales; Brassicaceae
Source: RefSeq, a predicted model, not a curated record
GAUAUAACCCUAGAUAUAAACAUUGAGACUCGAUUAUUAAACAUUGAGACGCCGCAUCGUUGAAGAAGAGAGAUUGUUGGAGGCAUGGUUGAGACGAGACGUCACAGCGAUUUUGCGCUUCUUCUCAGGAAACAAUAUAAUCACAACUUACCAACAAGACAAAGGAGUUUACUCCAGCUGUUGGGAUUAUACAGAGUCAGAUUUGAAGCAUAUGGCCUAAAAAAGGUUUUGGCGUACAUGUAGAGCAUACCAGGUAGAAGAAGAAAGUGAAGAACAGAUGUAUAAUGAAGAGACCGAGGAAACCGUGGGAAGCAUCUCGAGAUGAUGAGAGCUGAAAUUGAUGCUAAUCAGAAGAGAUAUGAGUUUGAAACUAAAGGAGAUAAUGGUGAUUACGAAUGACACACCCUUUUUAUUAUAUUUCAUUUCUUCAUGCUUGAGGUUUUAUAUAAUCUUUUCUCUAGACGGAGACGGUAUUGACUUUGGCACUAUGGUUGUUUUGCAGUCCAGAAUUAUUAGUGUGUGAUUCUCAAAAGAAAGUGUGAAGCUAAUCAUACAUUAUUAUUUGUUCAGUAAUCCUAUUUUUGCAGAACAGAGGUCAUUAUGAGCUCUAUUCAUCGGUAUGAAAUAGGUAAUUUUCGAUCUAUCUUUUUUUUUUUUUCUCAAAUGGUUUUGAUUUUUAAAUGAGCAAAAUAUCAAUUUUAAUAAUGCCAACGAUCCCUAAUUUGAGAUCCUUCAUUGUUUUCUUUUUACUUAUCUAACACAUAUUUGCAAAUAUGAUACAUAUAAAUCACAUUGUUGCUCUAAAGGUUCUUUUUAUGAGCUCAAAAUAGAAGUUAAGUAAGGUAAAUGUUUUUCUUUUUUAUUGACUAAUAAAAUUAUCCAAACUUUUGGCCAUGUAACCAGCUUGCAUAUAACACACUUCUUUUGUUGCAGAACAUAAACUAACCUCUUUUGUUGCAGAACAUAAACUAAGAUAUGCAAAUAUACUAGAGACGAUGACAUGCAACAGUACAGUUGUACUAACAUUAUAUUAUGGGUUUGGUGGUUCUGAUCCACAAAAGUGCAUCAUCUAUUGAACUGCAACAUAUGGAGAAGGAAUAAACAUGAGAAGAAUUGAGAAAGUUUGAAUAGAACAAUACAGUAGAAGAGAAGCAGAUAAGUAGAAAUAGUGAAGGUGAUCAGACAGCCAUGUAAAAGCUCCACUUCUUUUGUGAGCAUUUGUUUUCUCAUGAUGUAUGCAAGUAACACUUGCCAAGUAUAUUAGCUGCAUGUGUGUUUCUUUUAGAUGAAUUUGGUAAUACAAAUCCCACAUGCUUUACUUAAACUUAAUAAUAUGUACUUAUAACACAUUCUUUGCAAAUUCCCUGCAAAGAUAUUUAUGUAA